GUAAACCCUGGGGGAGUGGUCCAGGACUUCAUCUUCUUCUGUGAUGCCGUGGCGUCCUGGGUCAGCCCUAAAGACGACCUGAGAGACAUGUUCUACAAGAUCCUCCAUGGUUUUAAGGACCAGGUAGGAGAGGAGAACUGGCAGCAGUUCUCAGAACAGUUUCCCCCCCAGCUGAAGGAGAGACUGUCUGCCUGCUACGCUGUGUAGAAACCCCCCCUAACCUAACAUCAGGUGAGCCAGUAGUAGAGGAGGAAGGUGAAAAGGAAUCUCAUCCAUCUGUGUUAAUGCCCUGAACUGAUCUGGGAGGAGAGGGACCCAUCACGCCAUUGGCCGCUCCCC
This is a long non-coding RNA of Oncorhynchus gorbuscha (pink salmon), 339 nucleotides long. RefSeq lists it as uncharacterized. The transcript is spliced from 4 exons. NCBI's taxonomy places the organism in Eukaryota, Metazoa, Chordata, Actinopteri, Salmoniformes, Salmonidae. The record is from RefSeq and is a predicted model, not a curated record.